Molecule: ribosomal RNA, 468 nt
Filed under: uncultured bacterium
Lineage: Bacteria
Description: partial 16S ribosomal RNA
Rfam family: Bacterial small subunit ribosomal RNA
Source: RNAcentral
GACGAACGCUGGCGGCGUGCUUAACACAUGCAAGUCGAACGGAAAGGCCCUGCUUUUGUGGGGUGCUCGAGUGGCGAACGGGUGAGUAACACGUGAGUAACCUGCCCUUGACUUUGGGAUAACUUCAGGAAACUGGGGCUAAUACCGGAUAGGAGCCCCUGCUGCAUGGUGGGGGUUGGAAAGUUUCGGCGGUUGGGGAUGGACUCGCGGCUUAUCAGCUUGUUGGUGGGGUAGUGGCUUACCAAGGCUUUGACGGGUAGCCGGCCUGAGAGGGUGACCGGCCACAUUGGGACUGAGAUACGGACCAGACUCCUACGGGAGGCAGCAGUGGGGAAUAUUGCACAAUGGGAGGAAGCCUGAUGCAGCAACGCCGCGUGCGGGAUGACGGCCUUCGGGUUGUAAACCGCUUUCGCCUGUGACGAAGCGUGAGUGACGGUAAUGGGUAAAGAAGCACCGGCUAACUACGUG